Molecule: ribosomal RNA, 253 nt
Filed under: uncultured bacterium
Lineage: Bacteria
Description: partial 16S ribosomal RNA
Rfam family: Bacterial small subunit ribosomal RNA
Source: RNAcentral
UACGAAGGGGGCUAGCGUUGCUCGGAAUCACUGGGCGUAAAGGGUGCGUAGGCGGGUCUUUAAGUCCGGUGUGAAAUCCUGGAGCUCAACUCCAGAACUGCCUUUGAUACUGAAGAUCUUGAGUUCGGGAGAGGUGAGUGGAACUGCGAGUGUAGAGGUGAAAUUCGUAGAUAUUCGCAAGAACACCAGUGGCGAAGGCGGCUCACUGGCCCGAUACUGACGCUGAGGCACGAAAGCGUGGGGAGCAAACAGG